RNAcentral lists this ribosomal RNA (253 nucleotides) under uncultured bacterium. RNAcentral describes it as "partial 16S ribosomal RNA". It matches the Rfam family "Bacterial small subunit ribosomal RNA", at positions 524 to 775 of the family's 1533-position model. The record is from RNAcentral.
UACGUAGGGUGCGAGCGUUGCCCGGAAUUAUUGGGCGUAAAGAGCUCGUAGGCGGUGUGUCACGUCGGCCGUGAAAACCUGCAGCUUAACUGUGGGCGUGCGGUCGAUACGGGCAUCACUGGAGUUCGGCAGGGGAGACUGGAAUUCCUGGUGUAGCGGUGAAAUGCGCAGAUAUCAGGAGGAACACCGGUGGCGAAGGCGGGUCUCUGGGCCGAUACUGACGCUGAGGAGCGAAAGCGUGGGGAGCAAACAG